This 253-nucleotide ribosomal RNA is filed under the name uncultured bacterium. Its description in RNAcentral is "partial 16S ribosomal RNA". It matches the Rfam family "Bacterial small subunit ribosomal RNA", at positions 524 to 776 of the family's 1533-position model. The record is from RNAcentral.
UACGUAGGGUGCAAGCGUUGUCCGGAAUUAUUGGGCGUAAAGAGCUUGUAGGCGGUUUGUCGCGUCUGCUGUGAAAUUUCGGGGCUCAACCCCGAACUUGCAGUGGGUACGGGCAGACUAGAGUGUGGUAGGGGAGACUGGAAUUCCUGGUGUAGCGGUGAAAUGCGCAGAUAUCAGGAGGAACACCGAUGGCGAAGGCAGGUCUCUGGGCCACUACUGACGCUGAGAAGCGAAAGCAUGGGGAGCGAACCGG